UAGAUAAAGAGAAUAAGUUGGUAUUCGAAACCCUGGUCGCUCGUCAACAGCCCCAUCUUUCGUCUUUUAACUUUCCAGUACUCUACCCUAACCCUAGCUUUUUGCUGCCGCAGCACCACCGAUCUCGAUCGAUCGGAGAGAGUGAUGGAGGAAUUGGAUGCUGCUGAGUCAAAAAGACGAAAAAUUGAGAAGGUUGAAAUGGCGAAGGAAGCGUGCCUUUGCCUUAUGACGUAUAAAAAGUUGAUCGUGAUCAAACUGAGCAAUUUAAAGGAAGAAAUUGAUGUCAAAGAUUGGACUUGUUUGCCUCCACCACCGUUCGAGAUGUUUUUGGAUCUUCCAGAUCAUGAUAUGUGUCCCUUCGAGUUCGACUCCAAGAUCUAUAUGGCGCCGUCGGAGCGGACCAGCCUGCCGCCUGAAAUUGGCAGAAGCAAAUCCGUUUCCAUGGGGAAUUUGGUCCCCUGGCCAAUCUACGAAGUCAAAUUUGAGGAGGGCAGAAUUGCCCCUACGGGAUCACUGGAUGGUGCACCCUUUCCUUUUCAGGAAUCAUACAUCGCAAACACGCCAGGCUCAGGCGAUGUUUACUUCUAUAUAAAUCUGAGGCGACCUGUCAAAGAUUCAUCUAGAUUUUACGUUCUUUGUUCUGGUUCUAGAGUUUGGAAACCCUUAAAUGGCUCCUGGGGCCAUCAGCAGCGAACCAGAUGUCGAGAAUACCAUGUUCGUUCUCGACAACAACCUCUUUUUUUAUCAUCCACGGAGAGAGACUCCUGGCAGUGGCCAAUGUCGUAUUACUUAUUUCCCACACAUUUCCGUGUCCCUUCACGGUCUUGGCAGCAGCAACUACACCGUUUGCCUUACACAUGGGUAUGUGAUGGAACCUCCUUAUACACAUUUGGAACAUCGUCAUCCGUGAGAUUCUCCUCGGAGCAACCACCAGGCUUCCCCGGGCAACGCUCCACGGCUAUAAAGAGGUCGGAACUUUGCAGAGCAUACUCUUUCGGUGCGGUCGACCUCAGCUGGAAGACCGGCAGUUUCGGUUCGCUCUGCGGCAGCAGUAGUACCUCCGCUGAGCAAAUCCACAAUCCGAACACCUAUGGCUGUUCCUCCAAUUGAUCCUCCUUCCAAUCGGAACCGAUAGAAAAAGUUGCUUGUAGCAUUUCCAGGUUUGACCAUUAAUUAAUACUAUAAAGCUGAAUCGUCAUAAAUUUUAAAGAACUAGUGGGCUUAGACUCUUCUAAGACUUCAGUGACACUUCUAUUCAGACUUUAACGGUGCCAACUGCCAACUUCCCUAGCAACUGGAUAUGCUACAAGAGGAGAAUGAGGUUAUAUUAGAAAAGGUGGUGCUCUUCUGGCCUAACAAAGUUGGUUUUAAACUCAAAUUAUGUGAUAUUUAACAUAUCUGCUUGAUUAUAUUGACAGUUAAGAGAUGCAGAG
This is a non-coding RNA of Arachis ipaensis, 1433 nucleotides long. Lineage: Eukaryota; Viridiplantae; Streptophyta; Magnoliopsida; Fabales; Fabaceae. The record is from RefSeq and is a predicted model, not a curated record.